RNAcentral lists this ribosomal RNA (253 nucleotides) under uncultured bacterium. Its description in RNAcentral is "partial 16S ribosomal RNA". It matches the Rfam family "Bacterial small subunit ribosomal RNA", at positions 524 to 776 of the family's 1533-position model. The record is from RNAcentral.
UACGUAGGGGGCUAGCGUUGUCCGGAGUCAUUGGGCGUAAAGCGCGUGUAGGCGGUCCGGUAAGUCCGCUGUGAAAGUCGGGGGCUCAACCCUCGAAUGCCGGUGGAUACUGUCGGGCUAGAGUGCGGAAGAGGCGAGUGGAAUUCCUGGUGUAGCGGUGAAAUGCGCAGAUAUCAGGAGGAACACCAGUUGCGAAGGCAGCUCGCUGGGACGUUACUGACGCUGAGACGCGAAAGCGUGGGGAGCAAACAGG